Molecule: ribosomal RNA, 253 nt
Filed under: uncultured bacterium
Lineage: Bacteria
Description: partial 16S ribosomal RNA
Rfam family: Bacterial small subunit ribosomal RNA
Source: RNAcentral
GACAGAGGUCCCGAGCGUUAGGCGGAAUCACUGGGCUUAAAGCGUGUGUAGGCGGAUCGUUAAGUGCCUUGUGAAAUCCCACGGCUCAACCGUGGAACUGCUUGGCAUACUGGCGGUCUUGAGCAACCUAGGGGCAAGCGGAACAAAUGGUGGAGCGGUGAAAUGCGUAGAUAUCAUUUGGAACGCCAAUGGUGAAAACAGCUUGCUGGGGGUUUGCUGACGCUGAGACACGAAAGCCAGGGGAGCAAACGGG